This is a non-coding RNA of Podarcis muralis (Common wall lizard), 582 nucleotides long. The record is from RefSeq and is a predicted model, not a curated record. Lineage: Eukaryota; Metazoa; Chordata; Lepidosauria; Squamata; Lacertidae.
AGCCCUGAAAGAAAUGGAGAGAUGAAUGGUGAUGAGAAAUGCAAAUUACUGUGGCAAGUAUUACUAGUGCCAUGGCCUUUUCAUGGUCAUGUGAUAAUAGUAUCCUGGAGGGAAUAUCAUCCCUCACCCUGGACCUCACCUGAAGAAUAAACUUUGAGUGGAACCUGAAGAAGGAAUAGCUGUAAAAUAGAACAAAGUAUUAUGCCUCAAGUGAUUAUCGGAGAGUCUGUGGAAAGGUGACAGGAGAAGCAAAAAGGUAAAGGACAGCAGUGGUGGAGACUCACUUGCCAGUUUGAUAGCUGGCUGGUUCUGGAAGAGAUGGCAUCCAUGGAAGAUGAACGACUAUGGAGAAUAGAGGCACAAAAUGUCCAGGAGUCACUGGUGGGAAGGCUAGAUAGGCAAGCAAACAGAUAAUAUCUAUGCAUUGCCUCUACUAAGAGGUCUAGAUUCCUAAACUAGAAUUCAAUUUUUGAUAAUAGGCUACUGGACAGAGGAGGGAUCAUAGCAUGAAGUGUACUGUGUUUAGAGUUGGAAUUUUGUUUUACUUAAAGAGGAAAAAAAUAAACUGAAAUUCCUCUGGAA